This 71-nucleotide transfer RNA is filed under the name Dipodomys ordii (Ord's kangaroo rat). RNAcentral describes it as "tRNA-Gly (GCC) (tRNA-Gly-GCC-4-1)". It matches the Rfam family "tRNA". Rfam says of the family: Transfer RNA (tRNA) molecules are approximately 80 nucleotides in length. Their secondary structure includes four short double-helical elements and three loops (D, anti-codon, and T loops). The record is from Rfam by way of RNAcentral. Lineage: Eukaryota; Metazoa; Chordata; Mammalia; Rodentia; Heteromyidae.
GCAUGGGUGGUUCGGUGGUAGAAUUCUCGCCUGCCACGCGGGAGGCCCGGGUUCGAUUCCCGGCCCAUGCA